This 460-nucleotide ribosomal RNA is filed under the name uncultured bacterium. RNAcentral describes it as "partial 16S ribosomal RNA". It matches the Rfam family "Bacterial small subunit ribosomal RNA", at positions 338 to 795 of the family's 1533-position model. The record is from RNAcentral.
CCUACGGGAGGCAGCAGUGAGGAAUAUUGGUCAAUGGGCGAGAGCCUGAACCAGCCAAGUCGCGUGAGGGAAGACGGUCCUAUGGAUUGUAAACCUCUUUUGUCGGGGAGCAAAAAGGCCUCGUGAGGCCACAAGUGAGAGUACCCGAAGAAAAAGCAUCGGCUAACUCCGUGCCAGCAGCCGCGGUAAUACGGAGGAUGCGAGCGUUAUCCGGAUUUAUUGGGUUUAAAGGGUGCGUAGGCGGACUGGGAAGUCAGCGGUAAAAGCCCGGGGCUCAACCCCGGCCCGCCGUUGAAACUGGCAGUGUCGAGUUGGAGAGAAGUAUGCGGAAGGCGCGGUGUAGCGGUGAAAUGCAUAGAUAUCGCGCAGAACUCCGAUUGCGAAGGCAGCAUGCCGGCUCCACACUGACGCUGAGGCACGAAAGCGUGGGUAUCGAACAGGAUUAGAUACCCGUGUAGUC